This 23-nucleotide small nuclear RNA is filed under the name Arabidopsis thaliana (thale cress). Its description in RNAcentral is "snRNA_03076". The record is from RNAcentral. Lineage: Eukaryota; Viridiplantae; Streptophyta; Magnoliopsida; Brassicales; Brassicaceae.
UUUCUUACUCUCAAAAGAUUUAA